ACGGCGAGUGAAGCGGCAACAGCUCAAAUUUGAAAUCUGGCUCUUUCAGGGUCCGAGUUGUAAUUUGUAGAGGAUGCUUCGGGUACGGGUCCGGUCUAAGUUCCUUGGAACAGGACGUCGCAGAGGGUGAGAAUCCCGUAUGUGAUCGGUCCCCACACCCGUGUGAAGCUCCUUCGACGAGUCGAGUUGUUUGGGAAUGCAGCUCAAAAUGGGUGGUAUAUUUCAUCUAAAGCUAAAUAUUGGCCAGAGACCGAUAGCGCACAAGUAGAGUGAUCGAAAGAUGAAAAGCACUUUGGAAAGAGAGUCAAACAGUACGUGAAAUUGUUGAAAGGGAAGCGCUUGCAACCAGACUUGCUCGUGGGUGAUCAACCGGUAGUCUUACCGGUGCACUCGCCCGCGAUCAGGCCAGCAUCGGUUUGGGCGGUUGAAUAAAGUCCCCCGGAAAGUAGCUCCUUUUGGGGAGUGUUAUAGCCGGAGGUGCAAUGCAGCCCGCCCGGACCGAGGACCGCGCUUCGGCUAGGAUGCUGGCGUAAUGGUUGUAAGCGACCCGUCUUGAAACACGGACCAAGGAGUCUAACAUCUAUGCGAGUGUUUGGGUGUCAAACCCAUGCGCGUAAUGAAAGUGAACGGAGGUGGGAACCCUGAAGGGUGCACCAUCGACCGAUCCUGAUGUCUUCGGAUGGAUUUGAGUAAGAGCAUAGCUGUUGGGACCCGAAAGAUGGUGAACUAUGCCUGAAUAGGGUGAAGCCAGAGGAAACUCUGGUGGAGGCUCGCAGCGGUUCUGACGUGCAAAUCGAUCGUCAAAUUUGGGUAUAG
Molecule: ribosomal RNA, 816 nt
Filed under: Sarcogyne regularis
Lineage: Eukaryota; Fungi; Ascomycota; Lecanoromycetes; Acarosporales; Acarosporaceae
Description: eukaryotic LSU rRNA
Rfam family: Eukaryotic large subunit ribosomal RNA
Source: RNAcentral